UCCCACCUGACCCCAUGCCGAACUCAGCAGUGAAACGCCGUAGCGCCGAUGGUAGUGUGGGGUCUCCCCAUGUGAGAGUAGGGAACUGCCA
Molecule: ribosomal RNA, 91 nt
Filed under: Xenorhabdus beddingii
Lineage: Bacteria; Pseudomonadati; Pseudomonadota; Gammaproteobacteria; Enterobacterales; Morganellaceae
Source: RNAcentral